This 626-nucleotide long non-coding RNA is filed under the name Struthio camelus australis. RNAcentral's name for it is "lncRNA (ENSSCUG00000011263.1)". The record is from RNAcentral. Lineage: Eukaryota; Metazoa; Chordata; Aves; Struthioniformes; Struthionidae.
CAAGGCUCUGCAUUGGCCCUUCUGGAAAGUUUUCCUCUUUUUCUAAGAAUUAAGUCAUGUAGUUUUGUGGGAUAGAGCCAGAAAUAGCUACGAUGCUCUUCACCUUUCAGGGAAUAGGAGAUCUGGUCCACGCAAAAACACAUGAGUAGAAGCAUUUCCCAAAUGUUUGAGGAACAGCAUUAGACUUAUCUGAACCUGGAUUUUGAGAGAUGAAGUCCUGAUUCAAGUCUCUGCAUCCCAGGUGCAUCUCUAACUGGAAGGUGAUCUCAAAGGAGAAUGCUCAGGGGGAAUUCAGGGACCAGAGAUUUAAUGACUGCAGUUUUAUAGUCUUCAUCAGACCAUCAAGGCUAUAGUCCAAAGAUAGGAGUUAUCAUCUCCAUGAAUUCUGUCAUCUCAAUCAACCUUCAAGGGAAAAUCAUCGCAAGAAGGCCUCAGGGUGACCGUAUUAGCCUUACCUAUGUGGAGACCUCAUCUUCGCUUAGAGCUAGAAACUUUGGAAAUCUGGAUAAUCCCAUGCUUUUCCUCUGGAACAGGAGAUUUGGAGAAUGCGUAUGUCAGUAGGUAUCUAGGUGGUUUGACUAAAAGGAAGUGGUUGUUUGCACUAGAGAUGAUUAGUCACUUGGAAU